RNAcentral lists this long non-coding RNA (1476 nucleotides) under Mytilus galloprovincialis (Mediterranean mussel). Lineage: Eukaryota; Metazoa; Mollusca; Bivalvia; Mytilida; Mytilidae. The record is from RNAcentral.
UUUACAAAUUCCGUUCUCUGUUUAUCCAACAUAGAAGCUUAUCAAGAUGAAUGGAAAAAAGUUAUUUUUGUGAUAUAUCUUCACGUUCUAGAUAUUGAUCGUCUAAUUAUUCUAUGUAGUGAAUAUUUUGGUAUAAAGUAUCCCCAUCAAAAAGAAAUAAAGGAUGCUACAAGCACAUUCGUAUGUCGUUUUUUGAAAUAUACCUAGAAAUUGAGAGUAGUUCGACCAAAUGUUACACUUAUACUGUUGUCAUGCAAUCAUUUUAGCAUCAUAACGCUAAUUUAUAUAUAAAAACAAGACUAAAUACUUCUCUUGUUAUCUGUAUUGAAUUAUAUUAAAACAUAUUUGUCCCAAGACAUUGCACAAUAUCUGUGUCUUCCAUUAUUUAUUACGGUGCUGCUCUGAAUUUAGCAAGUUUAUUACUUGUAGCUUGUUUCCAGUAACUGUAUUCAUUCUUUGAUAUGAUAUUGUUUAUGUUGUUUUGAUUGUAGUUGUAUUAUUUCUUAUCAUAUGAAUUAGUAUUACAUAGAUACAAGUAUUUAAAUGCGUUGUCUGUACUAGUUCGUAAUAAUGUACGCUAAAGUGUGCACAUUUAAGUGCCAGUCUUUGUAAGAAUCAGGCAAUUUAGGUAAAAAUUAAAAUAUGAUUAGAAAAAACCCACCGUGGUAAUUAUGCUAUUUAAUACUAACCAUCAUCCUGAGUAAAAAAGUAUUAGUCUUUCGCUUGUGUGUGUCUGGUAAUAUCAAAUAACUUGGUUAGAAAAUUGUAAAAUGAAUAGCAAAUUACAGAGUUAUCUCCCCUUAUCGUUAAUUUCUAGUGCAUUUUCAACCAAAUUUAUCUUCUAUUACCAGAACAGAAAUGGAAAUGAAUUAUUUUGUGCAUAAUACAUAUUAUGAUGAAAAUCAUGUCAAAUAGGUGGGUUUUUUGGUCAUGUUUUCACCACUGCCUGAUUCUUAGGCAGACUGGCACUUAAUCCACAUUUUUUUAUAUUUCAAUAAGUAGCAUUGAUAUCUCCUAAAACAACCAUGUUUGGUUCUCCACUUGAACACAUGACUGUGUAAGACAGGAGUCCCAUCAGUGGAUGUCUUCUGUUGUAUCAAUGUUUUGGUCGUGUCCGGUGUUUGGUAUUAAUUGCAGGCAUUUGAUAAGCCAUCAAAUUGUUCUAGAUGCGAAUCGACAAAGAGACUGACAUAAUUUGUAUAGGCUUUUCAUUUUGUCUAAUGUAAGAGAGUUGUGUUGACUGUUUAGUGUCAUUUUUAUACUAUGUUGUUGUUUAUCUUUUUGUUCACCACUUUAUUUGCUUGCUUAAAUUAUUUUAUUUAUUGAACUUUAUUACAACAUGUAAUUUUGUAAGUUCCAUGUUUCUCAAAUGAAUGAUAUGAUAAAUCUUAUAUUGUCUGCAAUUCUUACUGUAUCAGGUAGAUACAUCAUAUAAUGUUUGUAUUUAGAUAUGACGAUUUCAGAUAAUAAACAUUG